UUAAUUAAAAUAAUAUAAUAUUAUUUAUCACGAAGUUGAGGGAGCUAAUUAAUGUAUAUUUAUAGAAAACAAGAUGUUGCAUAAUUAAGAAAACAGUAAUUAGGGGUGAUAGGCUUCUCACACUCAACGAUAACUUGAUGGGUCAGAAAUGUAUUAGUACAUCGGCACUUUCAAAAUGAUAAGGUUUUGAAAGGCAAAUUAAUGCUUAAUAUAAUAUAUAAUUUAUCUUAUUUAAACAUUAAUACAAAAAUAUUUUAAUAUAAAUUUAUAGUAGUUGUUUAAAUUAUGAGCCUAUAGAAUUAAUUUUUUUUAAAGUAUACAUAAUGUUAAUAUUAGUAAUAAAAAGAUAUUAAUACUGAACUCGGCAAUUAAGCCUUUCAACUGUUUAUCAAAAACAUAGCUGUAUGUAUAAAUAUAUAGUGUUUUCUGCUCAAUGAGAAUUAAAUAGCCGCAGUACUCUGACUGUGCUAAGGUAGCGCAAUCAAUUGGCUUUUAAAUGGAGUCCUGUAUGAAAGAAACUAUGGAGGGCUACUUUCCUAUUAAUAAUAGCUGAAUUUACUAAAUAAGUGCAAAUUCUUAUAUAAAAAUAAAAGACGAGAAGACCCUAGAAAUUUGAAGUAAUAACUUUUUGUUGGGGCAACACAGUAACAAAUUAAUUUACUCUUAAAACACGAAAACUUUAAUUUGAUAGAUUAAAUUACUCUAGGGAUAACAGCAUAAUUUGGAAAAGUUUGUGACCUCGAUGUUGGAUUAGGGAAUUUACAUUUAGAAG
This 772-nucleotide ribosomal RNA is filed under the name Austrochloritis seaviewensis. RNAcentral's name for it is "partial large subunit ribosomal RNA". The record is from RNAcentral. Lineage: Eukaryota; Metazoa; Mollusca; Gastropoda; Stylommatophora; Camaenidae.